This 376-nucleotide ribosomal RNA is filed under the name uncultured bacterium. Its description in RNAcentral is "bacterial SSU rRNA". It matches the Rfam family "Bacterial small subunit ribosomal RNA", at positions 524 to 898 of the family's 1533-position model. The record is from RNAcentral.
UACGUAGGUGGCAAGCGUUGUUCGGAAUGACUGGGCGUAAAGGGCGUGUAGGUGGACUGAUCAGUCGGGUGUGAAAUAUCCAGGCUCAACCUGGAGGGUGCAUCCGAUACGGUCAGUCUUGAGUGCAGGAGAGGGCAGUGGAAUUCCCAGUGUAGCGGUGAAAUGCGUAGAUAUUGGGAGGAACACCAGUGGCGAAGGCGGCUGCCUGGACUGUAACUGACACUGAGGCGCGAAAGCGUGGGGAGCAAACAGGAUUAGAUACCCUGGUAGUCCACGCCGUAAACGAUGGGUACUAGGUGUAGGAGGUAUCGACCCCUUCUGUGCCGGAGUUAACACAAUAAGUACCCCGCCUGGGGAGUACGGCCGCAAGGUUGAA